Molecule: long non-coding RNA, 901 nt
Organism: Apis mellifera (honey bee)
Lineage: Eukaryota; Metazoa; Arthropoda; Insecta; Hymenoptera; Apidae
Exons: 2
Source: RefSeq, a predicted model, not a curated record
AACAUAUUUAAAAUACAAAUGAAUGAUAUUUUACAAAUAUUAUACUCAACUCAUAAAAAUUAAAUGCUGAAUGAGAUUUCCAGAAUAUUUUCCAUUUCCUACGGAACAUCUUGUAUAAACAAAUUAUGUAAUUGAGCGAUCAGUAAAUCUCAGGUAUUAACAUUCUCAAUCUAAUAGUUUAACAAUUAAUAACAUAACAAAUGUAUCAUAUAAUAAAUCACUGUAGAAGAAUUAUAAUUAUAAAUAUGUAUUUUACUACAUACAAAUAAAAUCGAUUAUAAGAAUGAAUCGACAUUAAAAAUCGAGGCAGUAAUAUUUUAACGGAAAAUGUUUGUGAAAUAUUUAUAAUAUUGAUACCAGAUUCAAUGAAAAAUAACUAUAAAACCGCAUCGUGCGAUUCAAAUAGCCUCCUACAGCGAUUCAAAUAAACCAAUGAACCGAAAGCUAACAUGAAACGUUACUUUGGAAUUGCAAAUAACUUAUUCGGUAUAAUAAAAUUUGAAUCUUUAUAAUGAAUUAACGAUAAUAAUGUAUCUCUUUGAAUAACAAUCAGAGAUAGGGUAUAUAUUAAAUUUCAUAUUAAAACUUUAAAUUAAAUUAAGUAAAAUUCUAAAAAAUAAAAACGCUAUUUCGCUAGUAAUUUUAUUUCUUUUUUUUUUUUUUUUUUUUUGUUUUUUUCCUUUUUAAUAUCUUCGAGCACUUUCAUCAUGUUAAGCGAAAAAGAUUAACAUGGUAAAUGUGAUCAAACGUAAAACUUUAAUUUGAUACACGAAACCACAAUGUUACAAACAGAAUUGUCAAAAUCGAAAUACAUAUUCCGAACAUAUUUCGCCAACAUUACAGUUAAUUUUAUUAGAAUUAUUUAACAUCACGCAAGUGAUGUUAAUAAUGAAACAGGAAA